This 1564-nucleotide ribosomal RNA is filed under the name Aethomys hindei (Hinde's rock rat). RNAcentral describes it as "16S ribosomal RNA". It matches the Rfam family "Bacterial large subunit ribosomal RNA". The record is from RNAcentral. Lineage: Eukaryota; Metazoa; Chordata; Mammalia; Rodentia; Muridae.
ACUAAUCCUAGCCCUAAAUCCAUAAGCCUAAUUAUAUAUUUCAUUUAAAUAAAACAUUUUUUCCCAUAAAAGUAUUGGAGAAAAAAAUUAUACUUAGGAGCCAUAGAGCAAGUACCGCAAGGGAAAGAUGAAAGACCAAUUAAAAGUAAAAACAAGCAAAGAUUAAACCUUGUACCUUUUGCAUAAUGAAUUAACUAGAAAAUACCUAGCUAAGCGAACUAAAGCUAGAAACCCCGAAACCAAACGAGCUACCUAAAAACAAUUAUAAGAACUAACCCGUCUAUGUGGCAAAAUAGUGGGACGAUUUCUAGGUAGAGGUGAUAAGCCUAACGAGCUUGGUGAUAGCUGGUUACCCAAAAAAUGAAUUUUAGUUCAACUUUAAGCUUACUACAAGAGUCAAAAAAAUCCAAAUGUAAACUUAAAAUAUAGCCAAAAGAGGGACAGCUCUUUAGGAAUGGAAAAAACCUUAUAUAGUGAAUAAACAACCAUAAAACAACCAUUGUAGGCUUAAAAGCAGCCAUCAAUAAAGAAAGCGUUCAAGCUCAACAUUCAAAGGCAACUAAUCCAACAUCUUAUUGUAAAUUCCUAUAAUACAUAUUGGGUUAAUCUAUUAUUAUAUAGAUGUAAUACUGUUAAUAUGAGUAACAAGAAUAUAUUUCUCCAAGCACGAGCCUAUAACAACUCGGAUGACCAUUGUUAGUUAAAGGAUCUUAGACUAUAAAUCCAUAAUUAAAUAACCUAAACUUCAACCAUUAACCCAACACAGGAGUGCUUUAAGGAAAGAUUAAAAAGAAUGAAAGGAACUCGGCAAACACGAACCCCGCCUGUUUACCAAAAACAUCACCUCUAGCAUUACAAGUAUUAGAGGCAUUGCCUGCCCAGUGACUAAAGUUAAACGGCCGCGGUAUCCUGACCGUGCAAAGGUAGCAUAAUCACUUGUUCCUUAAUUAGGGACUAGUAUGAAUGGCUAAACGAGGGUUCAACUGUCUCUCAUUCUCAAUCAGUGAAAUUGACCUUCCAGUGAAGAGGCUGGAAUAUAAUAAUAAGACGAGAAGACCCUAUGGAGCUUUAAUUAAUUAGCUUAAUUAUUACAACAACAACCUAAUGGGCUAAAAAUGAAAAUAUAAGCUAAAUAUUUCGGUUGGGGUGACCUCGGAGAACAAAAAAACCUCCGAACGAUUCUAGCAUAAACUUACAAGUUAAAGCAACCAUAAAAUCCUAUUGACCCAAAUUAUUUUGAUCAACGGACCAAGUUACCCUAGGGAUAACAGCGCAAUCCUAUUUAAGAGUUCAUAUCGACAAUCAGGGUUUACGACCUCGAUGUUGGAUCAGGACAUCCCAAUGGUGCAGAAGCUAUUAAUGGUUCGUUUGUUCAACGAUUAAAGUCCUACGUGAUCUGAGUUCAGACCGGAGCAAUCCAGGUCGGUUUCUAUCUAUUCACAAUUUCUCCCAGUACGAAAGGACAAGAGAAAUAGAGCCCCCUUACAAAUAAGCGCUCUUAGCCCAAUUUAUGAAUAUAAUCUUAAUAAAAUACGCAUGUACAUCACCACACCUAGAUAAGGUU